This 253-nucleotide ribosomal RNA is filed under the name uncultured bacterium. Its description in RNAcentral is "partial 16S ribosomal RNA". It matches the Rfam family "Bacterial small subunit ribosomal RNA", at positions 524 to 776 of the family's 1533-position model. The record is from RNAcentral.
UACGGGGGGAGCAAGCGUUGUUCGGAUUUACUGGGCGUAAAGCGCACGUAGGCGGCUUGGUAUGUCGGGUGUGAAAUCCCCGGGCUCAACCUGGGAACUGCAUCCGAAACUGCCUUGCUAGAGUAUGGGAGAGGGAAGUGGAAUUUCCGGUGUAGCGGUGAAAUGCGUAGAUAUCGGAAGGAACAUCAGUGGCGAAGGCGACUUCCUGGACCAAUACUGACGCUCAGGUGCGAAAGCGUGGGGAGCAAACAGG